Monomorium pharaonis (pharaoh ant) is the source of this 30112-nucleotide long non-coding RNA. RefSeq lists it as uncharacterized. The transcript has 6 exons. NCBI's taxonomy places the organism in Eukaryota, Metazoa, Arthropoda, Insecta, Hymenoptera, Formicidae. The record is from RefSeq and is a predicted model, not a curated record.
UAAAUAAAUAUAAUACUUAAUUGUCUUGGCAAAUGAGUUUUGUUAAAUAAUUAUUUCUGCUACAAGAUGCUUUUGUUCUAAAAUAUAGUCUAAGUAGAGUCGAUUCUUAUAAAUAAUUGAGAGAUUGAUUAGUAGCAAAGCAAUAAUGUAAGAAAACGUAAGUAAUGAAAUCAUACAGAAUUAAAACGGCGUUAAUAAAUUUUUGAGCUUGUGUAUAAUAUACACAGUGUAAACAUUGCUCUUUUUGCUUUAGGAUUGAAAUUAUCAUACAUACUCUUAAAAAAAAGACGAUUAAACAACUCAUUUUGGGACCCAGCGCAGUGAUGCCCAGAAUCGAAUCUUUUUGCACCGUCGUGCUGCAUGGGGAGGAUGGCUGGCAGCACGAUGCUGCAAAAAGAUUCGAUACUGGCGUUCGGCAUACCGCGCGGUGUGGCGCCACAUCUGGCGCGUGAAGUUAACCGCGCGGCGCGGCGUCACCUUUGACGCGUGAAGUUGACCGCGCGAGAAAGACGGAGUCGCUUCACUCUGUCUUUUCGUGUAUCACUUUCGGAACGCGACGGACGCAGGAUGGACCGGCUCCGGAACAAGUGGCACCGCGAAUCUCUUAAUUGAUCGUGGCUAGACUGACAUGGAUCGGUGCCGGGGUGAAUAUUGCGCCAUGUCCACUAGAACGCAACGAACGCAGGAUGGACUGACUUCAGAACAAGUGGCAUCGUAAAUCUUUUAAUUGAUCGCGGCAAGUCUGUGAUGGAUCGGUACCGGGGAGAAUGUCGCGCCACGUCCGCUCGGACGCAGCGUCACGGUUAAGAUAGAUUCGAUUGCUCUCUAACAAUGUCGGGAACUUUAACAGAUAUUCCUGGGGAUAGAAUCACGAUGUAACGACGAUCAAUAAAGCGAGGGGGCCCUAGAACGCCAGGAGGAGCGUAUUCAUCGCUGGGGGAAAUGCAAGAUACAGCGCCUCAUGGAAGUCAAGGAAGCGUAAGGAGCUAACUUAGAGAAUGGAAGGCUCUUGAAGGAGUAGACCACGGGUAGUAGAAGGAGAUUGUCGGGAGCGGGGUCUCGGAAUAAUCUCUUUAAGAGCUUCAGGUAUUGAAGCGCAGUUUGGUGCGGAAGUCUCUCCUACUCGACCGCAACCCUUCUCGAUGGCUGUCGCGCUCACGAGCAUGAUCGACACGGCCCCUAGUUUAUAUGCGGCCGUUGAUAUCGUCGCGACUGAUACCGUCGUAAAAUAAUUUCUCCCCCUCGAGUAUCAACGAGCUAUAUUUUGCGCGGGCGCGAUUCGGCGUACGUCUCACAGUGAUUACCCCCUACUUUGUUAUUUUAAUGAUCGUAAAUAUCGCGUUACCUAACGACAGCGCGUCCGUGCGCCGGGCUGAGAAUUAAUUAUGAUGGAUUAUCUAAUUAGUUACAAGGGGAAAAAUGUUUUAUUAAUCGCUCUUUUUAAAAGGACGGCGUACACGCGGAUUCUUAUCGGCGGGCGACCUCAUUCCAGGUUAAUUGCGUGAAAAGUACACCCGGUACAUUGUAUGCAGGCGGAGGGGGGGGGGCAACUUGGGAAAGCGGUAGCCAUCCGGCGUAAUUUGGUGGAUGAUGGGCCUAUUAAGAGCCCGCUGAAAUGUUGCGCCAUUCUGGACAAUAUAUAGCCGUUUCCGUUUUACCUUGUCAUCGCUAUAUUUCGUACGCCCGGGGUGACAUAUCUUACAUCGCGGCUCAUUAAUGCCCGGCAUGAAAAAUGCGACGGCGAACUUAACGUGGAAAAUGCGUUAACAAUGUUGCAGUAUAUUAAAAAAAAAAAAGGGUUGACGCUAAAGCUCGCGCCGACUACUCGUUCGAUUCGUGACCACGCGUUUUUCUCGGCCGCGAAUGCGAAAAUACGGGGAAGAACCGGGUUUUAUACCUUAAUCGUAACAUUUCUUGCAAUUCUAUUAUGUGCUCGCGAGCAGUGAAAAUGGCGCUUUAUGACGACAGUCUGGAAACUUCGGUAGCGUCCACGAAGCGACACAACUCACCCUAUAAAGUCGACUUUAUGGGAAAACUAGUGUCCUUUCCUGCCGGUACACUUCUUUUUCGCGAGGAAGUUCUCCGCACAACUCUAAGGCUUGUAAAAAAAUCGCUUUGUUUAUCGCAGUCAGAAAGCAAACCAUCCCCGAAAACGGACUACGAUCGAUUAAUGGAGGUUUACAAGGAUUGCGAAACGUUUUAUGCCGAUAGUAAUCGCACGUACUUGCUUGCAAUCUCGUUUUUCUGCGUUUUAUCAGCACGAAGAGCUAAAGAGGGAUUGUACUUAAAUUCAUUUUGAAAGCAACGCGAGGCACCACGUAGCGUGAUGACCUCAAUCUGGGAGUUAUCAACAGAGAUCUCUGCGGAGAAUUAAUUUUAGAAUUGAUUUCGGUGGAGAAGGACGAACGCUUUUACUAGUAGAACUUUGGUAUUGUGGGCGGCUGUCGAAAAUCGAAGACGAAUUUCGAGAAAUCAAGCGCGACAGCAAGGCUGUGUAAAUUAAAAUUUGCUUUCUCGGAUAACAGGAGUUUCGCGCCGUUCGGAAUGUCCUCUACCUCUCUCUCUCUCUCUCUUUCUCUCUACCUCACUCUAUCUACCGCUUUGGUUUGCUUCCCGAGUCUUUCGUCUCGAAUGGAUCGCGGCCGGUUACCAAACGUUCAAUUUGACUUGGGAACUUUUCACGGAUGGUAUUCCGCAUUCCUUUUAUUCGGAGAAACUCGCGAAACUUGAGCGGCGCGGAGCGCUAGACAACGGCUUGCGGUUAGAACUGGGUUGAGCUGAAGCGUGGAAGAGAUGAAUAGCGCGGGAGAAGGGAACGGCAAAUAAUAUGAUCAGAGACAGGGCGGAUAGCGUAUAAGAAAGACCGAGGGACGGCGUGGAUAGGAAACAACCUCGCAAGGACAAGGCUAAACGACACUUCAUACAUGGGAGAUUAUCGCGCCUGGCGGGCGCUGAUACCAGGGAUGUUUCAGCCCUCGGUCCUUUGCCGUCCCUUAGCUCUCCUUAGCGCGCCACCACCAUGCCCUGUCUCAUCUUCAGCCCCUUCACGCCCUCCCCCCCCCCCCCCGAGUUCAUUACUCACAUGCAAAUAACCGACCUCCUCGGCCGAGAAUUCCCUUAUUUCUACGCAUCGCCGCGAUGUCUUUUAAAACUAUUUUUUUUUUCCUUUCUCGACGCCAGAGACGCCGCUCCCUCCGAUUUUCUCUCUCGCGGCCGACCCUCGCGCGCGUCCCCGUUUCUUUCUUAUCGGGGAAAAACCGAGACUCUUAUAACAAGGAGAAGAGAAUGAGCGUUAUUAGAUUUCCAAUAUUUAUGAAGCGCGCUAUGCCAUGCAGUACCUCCGAGGGAAAUACAAUAAUCGUUUCCGGAACGACGAAGUUCGCGGGUUUGUAAAAUCUAGUUACGCGGUCCCGAGCGUAAGUUAGAUUAAAUUAAAUAAGACCGGCAAGAGCGGUGCCGCGAAUCAACCGCGAGCGCUUCCUUGCGCACGCGGAAGAACUUCCAUUCCGUAGAGAUCGAGAGUUACGCGAGCCGAAAGCCCGUCGGGACAUUCUUUGUGCCGAGAUUCGAGGUAUAUCGUAUAACCGUCGGCGUUAUAGCCGAUUCUCUUUCCACGCCGCUUUUUCCUUUCGAGUCGCCUCGACGACCACCGAAGAAAGAAUGGUUUUGAGCGGCGAAGAAGUCCAGGGAGAGGGGGGGAAGGGGGGAGGGGCAAGGGAAAGAGAAAUUCAGCCAUGCCGAUCUUACGACAGUCGCAUUAACCGGUCGGGACAGGAAUGCGAGUCACGUAAGAGCGGGAGCGAAAUUCGUCGUUUAGCUUUCGUCGACGUAGCCCUGUCACCUCGUACGUACAAGCGCCGAGAGGAGGCGAGUGUAGAGAAAGAAAAUAUAAGAGGAGAAAAGAGGAGAGAGGAGAGGACGGUGGCGUGGCGGAAAAAUAAAAAGAGCAGACAUAGCGAGAGAGGUAAGAGAGGGUACCGUAAAAGAGAGGGAUGAAGGAGAGACGAGGGGUGGGGGGUGGGGGGAGGGUUAGGCGAGACGUCGUGCACGGUGCUGGUCUGGGAAGGCGAGAUCUCUGUAUUCGCGGCAGGAACCCGAACACUCGAUAGUGUGCUUUAGAAAAAUUCGUGACAGAACUGCUAAAGCGAACGGCGCACAAUUUACGUUAUUAAAUCGGCGGAACGGCUCGAAGCACCGGACGAGUGCUGCCUAUUCGACGUUAUUCCGCGUUUAAGUUCCUUUCGACUCCGCAUUUGCCCUCCCCGCUUGCGCGUCCCCGUGGCUACCACCGGUCGCUUAUACUUCAACCCCUUCGUCGACCAAGAUGCCUUCCCCCCCCCCCUCCUCCCCUCCGUUCCCCGGUGCUCUGGCCGUACGUACCGAUGACGGUCCUUGCUUUUCACGUAUCACGAUAAGAUUCUUCGGGGUUUCGGCGCGGGGCCAUAAGGCGACCUGGAUUUCCGCCGAAAUUCAGGACUAUGCGUUCGUUUGGUGGUCACGUCCGCGCAACGAAACGAAUUCGAAAUUAUUCUUCGAAGCUAUCCAGUGGCGGUUUUGCGCCAUUCGGUUAGAGGAUUCUGACGGUUAUUGACGCGAGUACGUACUGACUUAGCAUUAGAUGCUUUUAAAUUACGAAGAUAUACUUUAUAUAUAUAGAGAGACACUAAUUUCUGUGAUAGAUUCCUGGAAUUAAAACGAAAACAUCGUAUUUUCUUAAUUUUUAUGCAAAAUAAAUCUGUAAAUGUUAAAAAAAAUACAAUCUAAUAUACACACGAGUGAAAAUGUUUAAAAAGAAGCUUACUUUAUAAAGCAUUCUUCUCAAUUUAUUCUAUCUUCUUCCUUCUGCACGCUGAGUUAAAUAGAAAUUAUUGCUUCAUCAAAUUUCUUUCGUUAUAAAAUUACGUUAACAAUUAUUUGCAAAAAAUAUAUAAUUAAAUUAGUACAAUUGUGCACGCCUCGUGUUACACCGUGCGCUUCUCCCUAGAAUGUUAUGGGAAAUUCCCUAGGAUUUUCUUUUGUACCGCGCCCUCGGCGAGCGUCGUCUGGUGGCGCCCUUGAUUCGAUACAUUCCUAUACCGAUCGCCUCUCUGUACGGACGACGAGAAAGUUUUGUUAAAAUAAAGAGCGUCCGCAUACGCAAGGUAAAUCAAGCAUUCGUAAUUUACCAAAAGACUCAACAUUUUGGUCCUUCGAGCCGGAUUCAGCUAUUCGAGGUGGAUAUAUUCGAGUAUUACCGGCUGCCUCGUCAACACAAAGGGGCACGCCGAGCUCGCUGGACGAGACAGAGAGGAAGGUCGUCCGCCAUUAUCGUACGACCACAUCGCACAUACAUUUUCGUACUCGUUGCAACGCAAGUUACAAGCGUUCGCGACGAUUCGGCAUUCGGCCAAAGAAGCUUCUCACACUCAAACACGAGGCUUCCAUAUAAUCGUCAUCGUUGUGCGGCACCACGCCGACGAAACGCUUCGAAAAGCCGCCUAACCUCAUGCAACAAAGGCAAUUAGAGGUUAUAUCAACAGCAGUCAAGGAAAUUUCUACGAGUUUCAACGUCGGGGACCGUAAGAUUUCUUGGGCCGCAUUCUAAGCGCAUCUUGGGCACAUUUCAAACAUCGUCAGGAACAUCGCAGCAUACAAGGACAGCAUCACCUGUAUCCACGUGAAUGGGAACGUCGCAUCGUACGAAGACACUAUCGUUCGUAGCUACACGCAAGUAGCUUAUAAGUAUAACAUUGUAAUACCCAAAUCUUCAAUAUUGUCGUAAUUUCGUCAUUCCGACUGUAUUCGUAACCUCUGCUCGUUUUGAUUCGUUAAUCGUUUAACUUGACAAUAUGGAUACGCUCUCAGCAAGCGAAGCAAAAAACAAGCGCAAAACCAUUAAGGCUACGGCCACGCGAAUUCGAAAUUUUUUGGAUAGCGUAGAUCCCACUCAUUUAUCGCGAUUUGAUUUAACCGAACGGAUUAAAAAAUUAUCUCUUUUGUGGGAUCAAUACGAUCAAGUACAAACUCGCAUUGAAUCUUUAGAUUUCUCCGAGCCGGGGGAGAAAAACGAGGCUGACAUGCUCAAGCAACAUAACGACGAGCGUACUAGUUUUGAAACAGCAUACUUUAAUCUUGUAGCUCGAUUCGAAUCGACUCUUCAUCAGCUCGAGCUUCGCGAAAAUCAUGAAAACGCUAGGCCUCAGAAUCCCUCGGCACAAACUCAAAAUAAUUCAUCAGCUCAAAUUCGUCUGCCCAAAAUUAAUUUGCCAACUUUUUCAGGAAGUAGUGAAGAGUGGUACAAUUUUUUUGAUUCAUUUGAGAAACUAAUCAACAGCAACUCGACACUCUCUGACAUCCAGAAAUUCCAUUACCUGAGAUCGGUACUCAAGGGUAAGGCUGCUGAGGUUAUCGAGGCCUUUGAAAUCACAACGGAAAACUACAGAGAAGCAUGGGAGUCAUUGAUUGAGCGAUACGAUAAUCGUAGACGUAUUGUUCAAACACACAUCGAGUCGCUUUUUGAUUUACCGCCCAUGGCAAAGGAAAAUCAUACACAAUUGCGCGCUUUGCUCGACGGAAUGUGUAAACACUUACGUGCUCUUAAGGCUCUUCAAAGACCUGUCGAUUCUUGGGACGACAUGAUCAUUCAUCUGGUGAGUUCCAAAUUAGAUGCGAUAACAAAAAAGGAGUGGGAAACGAGUCGUUCGGACUCUUCAAUGCCUACUUUCAAGGAACUUAAGGAUUUUCUUCUACAAAGAUGUUUAGCUCUAGAGGCAGUAGCAAGUAAACCUUCUAAUUCGAGUUUAGCUACUAAUACUUCAUUUCAAAAAUCAAAAAGGACCGUCGCGAACGCAGCCAUUGCGAAUUUAGCCUGUAACUGUUGCAAGGAAAAUCAUUUUCUCUAUCAAUGUGAGUCGUUUAAAAAAUUGCCAGUAGAUAAACGGUUUAAAAUCGUAAAAAAUUCACAUUUAUGCAUUAAUUGUUUGAAAACUAGCAAACACCAAGCAAAAAACUGUCCUUCAUCAUCCUGUCGCAGGUGUCAGGGGGGGCAUAAUACUCUUUUGCAUUUUGAGUCGAAUACCGCGCAAGGUACAAGUUCGCAAGAUGUUACUCCAAGCACUGAGGAAGUAUCUGCUCCAGUAGUUACUCAAUGUUCGCAACAAAAUCCCACGAAAGUGUUGUUAUCUACCGCCAUAAUUCACGUACAUGAUUCAAAGGGAAAGGCUCACGCGUGUCGAGCAUUAUUGGAUAGCGGCUCGCAAUUGAAUUUUUUGACGGAAGAAUUUGCCAAAAGGUUGCAUCUUACUAGACAAUCCGUAAAUAUUCCAAUUUCGAGUAUUGGACAAAGUAACGUCGAAGCAAAAAAUUCGGUCAAUAUUGUAAUACGUUCUCGAUUCAACGCGUAUCAAGAAAGGUUAAAUUGCAUCAUUUUGCCAAAAAUAACUGAGAGAUUACCGCAAAAUUUCAUAUCACUUUCACAAUUAAAAAUACCGUCGAACAUUCAACUUGCAGAUCCAAACUUUAACACUCCAGAUGACAUAGAUCUACUGAUAGGCGCCGAAGCAUUCUGGCAAUUUAUGUGUGUUGGUCAAAUUAAAGGUUCUAAGGAUCAUCCUACUAUUCAGAAAACGAAACUUGGUUGGAUUCUUUCAGGACACACUCGUGAUCCUCAAAAGGAGAAACGCAAGGCUGUUUGUCACUUGGUCACGAACCGCGAUCUCAGUGAGACAAUUUCCAAAUUCUGGCAAGUGGAAAACGACUAUUUCAAUAAUACAAGCCCUUUUUCGCGUGAAGAACGCGCGUGUGAAACACUCUUUCAACAAAGCACUAGGCGUAAUGAAGAGGGUAGGUUUAUCGUUAAACUUCCUAUUAAGGAAGACGUAAUUUCGCAGCUAGGUGAGUCCAAAGAAAUUGCCGAGCGUCGGUUUCUCGCAUUAGAAAAACGAUUGUCGAGACAACCUGAUAUUUAUGACAGUUAUCGUAGUUUUAUGCGCGAAUAUCAAGAACUUCAGCAUAUGCAUUUAAUAAAGGAAACAGCAAGUCAGAAUGAGAGCACUUGUUACUAUUUACCGCAUCACUCGGUGCUAAAGGACACAAGCACCACUACUAAAUUGCGCGUUGUUUUCGAUGCUUCGUGCAAGACUCAAUCGGGAAAAUCGUUGAACGACGCGUUACUUGUCGGUCCUAUCAUUCAACAGGACUUGUUCUCCAUAUUAUCUCGAUUUCGCACGUUCCAAGUUGCAAUGACCGCCGACAUCGCAAAAAUGUAUAGACAAGUUCUUAUCGACCCGUCACAACGAUGUCUUCAACGCAUUCUUUGGCGCGAUAUUCCGCAACAAGAAAUAAAAACUUUUGAACUCGCUACUGUGACAUAUGGUACUGCACCCGCGUCGUUUUUAGCCAUACGUUCCUUACAAGCGUUAGCUCAGGAAGGUUCUAACUCGUACCCGUUGGGAUCUGAAAUAGUUCUGAGAGACUUCUACGUUGAUGAUAUGCUAACUGGUGCAUCUUCUUUAAAAGAAGCUUCAGAAAUAAAGAAGCAAACGACUGCCCUACUUCAAGGCGGCGGUUUUGAGUUAAGGAAAUGGUUUUCUAACGAUCCUUUAUUGCGGGAUAACGUUUCCGUAAACAACAAAGAAAUUGAUCCAGAUUCUGAGCAUGCUAAAACUCGUGCGCUUGGAGUUUCGUGGAAUUGUAAUCGAGACGUAUUUAAUUUCAUAAACUUGGACAGCUAUCAACCAUUAGCUAGAACUACAAAACGAAAUAUCUUGGCGAGAAUCGCUUUAAUUUUCGAUCCAUUGGGACUUCUGGGUCCGGCUAUAGUAAUUGGGAAACUCAUUAUGCAGAAACUAUGGCUAUUGAAAAUCGACUGGGACGAAUCGGUUCCUAUGGACCUUGAUACUCAGUGGCGGGAUUAUGAGCGACAGUUAAAAUGCUUAAAUAAUCUUGAAAUACCGCGAAAAAUAAUAAUUGAAGGAGCAAGGCGUAUCGAAUUGCAUGGUUUCGCGGACGCCAGUCAACAAGCAUACGGGGCUUGCGCAUAUUUGUGGUCUUUGUCUGAUAGCGGGAAGGUCGAAGUCCACUUAAUAGCUUCCAAAUCGCGGGUGGCUCCCGUCAAGAGCCUGUCGAUACCUCGUUUAGAGCUUUGCGGCGCUCUUUCGCUCGCCCUUUUAAUGAACAAACUGAAGAAAUCCUUAAAUGUUCAAAUUGAUGCUACACAUUAUUGGACGGACUCUAGUAUUGUAAUACAUUGGUUAAGAGGAUCAAGUCGAAAUUGGACAACCUUUGUUGCCAAUCGGGUUGGCGAAAUCCAAACGUUAACGUCAGUUGAAUCUUGGCGACAUGUAUCAAGCAGAGAAAACCCAGCAGACUUACUCUCGAGAGGCGUCAAGCCUGACGUAUUGCCGCUACAAGAAAUUUGGUGGCGCGGUCCCAAUUGGUUGCAAGGCACAAAAUCUGAUUGGCCUGUUUCUAUUAUGGACGAUUUGAAAGACGUGCCAGAUACAAGGGCUUCCGACAAAUCAUGCGUCUCGUGUGUCGUCAUUGCAGAGCCAGAAUUUGAUAUUUUUGAGAGAUACUCGAGUUACGAAAGACUUAUACGUAUCAUCGCGUUUUGCUUACGAUUUAUCAACGCCAUCAAACAUAAACGAAAAAAUGUUGAUCGUGAUUGCUUAAAGGGUAAUUCAGCCAAGGCUGUACCUUCGUUUUCCAAUGAUGAAUUAGAAAACUCGAAAUUAACGCUCGUUAAAAUUUUACAAAGGGGGUUUUUUAAAAAGGAAAUCGAUGAUAUCGCUAAUUUUGGUGUGGUAAACAAGAAAAGCUCGGUCUUAAAACUAAACCCUUUCCUGGAUGCGAAUGGAAUUUUGAGGGUUGGCGGUCGCUUAAAACAUGCGAAUUUACCGUAUGAUGCGAAACAUCCUAUUUUGUUACCUGGACGUCACACCUUUACUCGAUUACUUGUAGCAUAUGAACACAAACGAUUGUUGCAUGCCGGAGCUCAAAUGACUUUGUCGUCAAUUCGACAGAAUUUUUGGCCGUGCGUAGGUCGUAGCGUCGUUCGCGACGUCAUAAGUAAGUGCGUAGUUUGUUUUCGUAAUGCUCCGAAACCGUCUACCACUUUAAUGGGUAAUUUACCGGAAUCUCGCGUUACGACAUUUACGAGACCAUUCGAAAAAUGCGGAAUUGAUUAUGCCGGUCCGUUGUUUUACAAGGAAGGACAACGUAAAAAUUCACGAUUAAUCAAAUGUUUUAUAGCUAUAUUUGUGUGUUUUGCGACAAAGGCAAUACAUGUAGAAUUGGUAGGCGACCUCACUACCGAUGCCUUUUUAAAUACACUUAAACGCUUCAUUUCUAGAAGAGGUCGACCGAGUGACAUUUACUCUGAUAAUGGCUUGAAUUUUGUAGGUGCGAAACAUCAACUUAACGAAUUGUACGAUAUUCUCAACAAUGACGACUCGAGACGAAAGAUCGUGAACGCUGCAAGCAGUGAACGUAUAGAAUGGCACUUUAUCCCGCCAAGGGCUCCCCAUAUGGGAGGACUCUGGGAGGCCGCCGUGAAGGCUACAAAAUUCCAUAUUAAACGCGUUAUCGGUGAAGCUUCGCUGCGGUACGAAGAAUUUGUGACAUUGUUAGUUCAAAUUGAAGCCAUACUUAAUUCGAGACCGCUUACUCCACUGUCUGCGGAUCCUCAUGAUCUUUCGGCACUCACCCCUGCGCACUUUUUAAUAGGAUGUCCUAUCACCUCGUAUCCAGAACCGAAUCUGGAAGAUACUAAUAUAAACAGAUUGACGAGAUGGCAACGUGUUGAACUGCUGCGUCAACAUUUUUGGAGACGAUGGACGAAAGAAUAUUUACAUAAUUGUCAACAACGGAGUAAAUGGAAUACCACUGAAGUUCCUGUUACCGUAGGACAACUCGUUAUAAUACGCGAAGAUAAUUUACCCCCGUUACUCUGGGUUUUAGGCCGUGUUGUAGAAUCCUAUCCGGGUGAUGACAACCUCGUUCGUACGGUUUUAGUGCGUACCGCUAAGGGACUUUACAAACGACCCGUUACCAAACUUUGCGUUCUUCCAAUAGAUUAGAUUUAAUCCGUAUUCGUUUAAUAUUCAAUAGUAUAUAAGAUUUGUUUGUACUUCCAAUUUCUAUUACUUAUAUUUGAUUCCGUAAUUGUUUGAUUAUUGAAAGCACUCGCUUUCAAGGCGGGCGGUAUGUGCACGCCUCGUGUUACACCGUGCGCUUCUCCCUAGAAUGUUAUGGGAAAUUCCCUAGGAUUUUCUUUUGUACCGCGCCCUCGGCGAGCGUCGUCUGGUGGCGCCCUUGAUUCGAUACAUUCCUAUACCGAUCGCCUCUCUGUACGGACGACGAGAAAGUUUUGUUAAAAUAAAGAGCGUCCGCAUACGCAAGGUAAAUCAAGCAUUCGUAAUUUACCAAAAGACUCAACAACAAUUUCUAUGCAAAUUAUCCAGAUUUGUGUAAUAGCCUCGAUUCAUGAUAUUCAAUGUACGUAUAAUAAAAUGAUAUUACAUUAAAUCGUGAUAUCGAAAUACUCUUGUUUUUCAUUUGUAAACUCAACAUCCCGUACAGAGCCAACUAUGCAAUAAAAUAUAUUGCUAUUAUAUGGAUUGAUAUUAGUAUUUUUAAAAUAAAAUAUUCUCCAUCAUGGUGAGUAGACUUAAAAUGAAACUUAAACAACUAAAUAAACACAAAGAAAUAUUCGGCGCAGCCACACAACCGUCCAUCCAUCGUUCCGUCGCGCCAUCCCAAAGUACCCUCUCAGCGAUAUAUUUCCGGCGACCAGAAAAAUCCGUAUUUGAGUUUCCAACAAAACUAUUUGCCACCGUCCCAUUGUACCGCGAGUAUACACAGAUAUAUUUCAGCGGUAAACAGUUCGUCGCGACGGUGAUAGAAACAAAAACAAAUGCUAGCAAGGAUGAAUCGUCCCCAUAAAAUAUGAUAACGCUCAGAAACCUUAUAGUUUCCGGUGGAUGUGCCGUUGCAAAAACGUCAUAAAUAUGCAGUACGGCGAUCCGAUGCGACAGGUUCGUUCUCAGGAGGUGCCGGUCUCGAUAUACUUUGCAUAAACCAGUGUAUAAGAAUUGCUGCUCGACGUGCCGCGUUACGUCGUUUACAGUUUUUACGGCACUCGCGGACACUGCCGUCGAAUUUAGUCGUCAAGUAUAAAUACCAUUGAAAAUACCGAUGUAUACACGAGUAGCUCUUACGCAGCUAAUUCGCAAUAUUUAUUAAUUAAUUUUUGCGAAAUGUACAAUCGCAAAAUACAAGUAGGGAUAGAAUUCUAUUAUCGCAACACGGAGAUAUUUCUUAAUCGUUAAGUCUAUUAUAACUAUCUCUCCUAGUAAUUGUAAUUUAUGUUUAACUGCUAACUUGAAUACGUGUCUUUUUAUCAGAAUUUUUCAAGGAUAAAAAUUUAAUAUAUUUUUUCUGUCUACUGUAGUUUUCAUUGUUAAGUCAAAUAUUUAUUAAAGUCUGUGAUCUUGAAAAAAAAUAUCAAAUAUUUAUAAGACAUUGGAAUAAAUAAUAAAUACUAAUUUUGAUUCAGCAAUUUGAUGUGCAAUAUUACGGUAGGAGUGGAUAAAUAAUAUUAAUUCAAUUUGGCUUGGCGUAAUUUAAAUAAAUUUAAUUGUAACAAUAAUUUCAGGGAAUUGCAAUCAUAAUCAAGUAGACCGUAACUUAGCGUAUCCAAUUAUAUCACAAGGAAUAUGUUUUGCGCAUAUUAUUAUGAUACCUAUUUUGCCAGGAUAUUGCCGAAUACGUAUAGCGCGUUUACAAUUUCCGCAAAUAGUUAAACCGUUCAAUAGUAGUAAAUGAGUUGUACGUGCACACAGUUGUACAAUACGGUCUCUCAUACAUGUGCAAACAUUCGGUAAAAUCUAUUUUAUCGCCGUUCACCGUGUUAACCGCAAGCAGCCUAUGGAUCGGUUAUGGACACGACACGUAAAGCUCAACGGUAUUAUUGUAAUUUCGCACUCAAAAACACCCGUUGAAAUCGGAAGACCAGAUCAAUAUAAUGUACGUAUGUAUAAAAUACAGAGGCCAAAAUACGUAGAGAGACACGCCAGACUCACGCGGCUUCCUUACUGCCCUCCGUUUCUUAUUGUCAGUGCAAAAGGCGAUUUCUCUCCGAAACGACGUUACUCCGCAUUCGGAGAAUUUAAAACGAAGUCACGAUUUCCCAUAUAGAAUGCCGGGUAUCUACUCGCGCGAAAUACUUCGGGAUAAAGGCGCGUAGAGGAUAGCUCGUGCCGAUAUAUAGGAUCUGCGCGAUCUAUACCUUUUAUGGAGCAUUUCUACCAAAAGCAAAAAUAAUAUGUGCUCUUCCCUGAAGUUGUGAUAUUCUGCAAGUCAGCGUUAUUUCGUGAAUUUGUACGCAUUCGUAAAAAAGAUAUCAUAUCUAAAAUUUGCAAAUUUAACAUUUAUAUAAAAAUAAAGAUAUAACAAUUAAAGUGCUUAUUUUCAGAAAUAUGUUAUCACACAAAUAUAUAAAAAUUAUCGUUACAUGUUAUAUGUUUUCUCACAGUAACUUAACAUUCCAACAGAACAAAUAUAUAUUAUUGAAAAGAAAAAAAUAAGUAAUAAAUAUGUAAUUCUGUAUAAAAUAAUGAACAUUUCAUUUUUUCCGUAAAUUUCAAAAUUAAUAUAUUUCAAUACAGCUCGUAAUUUGGUCGCCUUGCUUUUUGAGAGAUGGUUAUAAUCUCAAAGCGCGUAGUAACGAUAGCUCCAUUUAAUUUUCAUGCGAUUCAAAGCGGAUGAAAUGUAACUAAAAAGAAAGUAAAGGGUAUACAAAUUGCGAAUUUCGUUGCUUGCCCGCUUUCGACAAUUUCGUGGCGCUGAAGACUAAAAGCUCGCCAAAUCCUUUGACGUGAAACAAUUCGAGCUACACGGGAGAAUAAUAGUUUGAUGCGUAGAACUUACUCUUUACGUACCAACGGAAUGGUUAUUUCAGAAUUAUUAUUGUUUAUGUAUCAUCUCUGAAAUAUUUGUUGUUGCGUAUUACAUCAUACUAAAAGAAAGCGUAUGAAUCAACACACAUUUUAUUUAUUGAAAUAAAAUAUAUAAAGUACAGUAAUUCGAUAAUUUUAAUUAUCAUAUUAGUUUUUCUCCAUUUUUAGGAAAAGAAUGCUAAAAUAAAUGUACCGAAUGUUAAAUUAAAUCUCUUAUUUUUGUAUCAAGUAUGAAAAAGUUGUAUCCAAUAUUAGCAAACACAAAAUUGCUGCAGUAAUCUUAUUCCUUUAAUUUCAUGAAUAAAAUUGCAGAUUUAAUUAUAAAUACUUUUCACAAUAAAUUUACGUGCAUAAAAUUUUCUAUAACAAUAUUGAAAUUGAUAAGACGAUUAUAAUUUGCGUUCAUUUGGGAUGUUGUAUUAUAGUCUGCAUAUAUUAAAAAUUAAAAACUGUCAUAAUACUAAGUAAAUGCCGAUAUUUUUCUCUCUAUUUUCUGAUGUCUUUAAACGACAAUGCAACUCAUUUUAUUUUAAAGUUUUCCAAUGCAAAAUUUAUGUAAAUGUUUUUAUGUACAUCCUGGACACGCUUAUUUUUGUAGCUUUUUAUUCUAUUCCAAGUAUUUGACAUAAUCGCAAAUAAAAUAAACCUAAAAGAAAUGGAUUUAAUUUGACGUGCGCAUGACAAAAUAAAAUGUGCCUUAUGAAUUUAAUCAAUAAAUUCACAUAGAAUAUAUAUGGGAUAGCCAAGCUAGAGAUAUUGAGCUGGGUGAACAAUAUACAUAGCUAUUUUCACAGAGACCUAUUAUAUUUAUUCUUUCAUAAACUCAUAAGUCAGUAUAAAAUAAAAUGGCUCUAUGCAUAGCGAACUUAUGAUUAUUCAAUAAGUUCUUCAUCAAUUUCGUUUAUGAAAAAAUAGUUGGCUACAUAAAUCUGAUCAAAGAGAAUAAAUCAAUGCCUGCAACUCGAGAAUGGAUACAUUCACAUAUUGCCUGACAAAAUGAAAGGUUAAGAGAUUGCUUGCCGGAUGAAUGAGGAUGAGACUCUCCUGUUCGAGAAAAACGACUCAGGAAUCCAAUUAUCUCGUUUUCUCUCUUUUUAGCUGUCCUAAUUAAAUGCUCAAUUCCAUCACGGAAGCGUUAACCAUUUUAAAGUUCGCUUUAAGUUCGAGCAUCAUAUAUCAUUAAUUUUCACGUAUCAACAAUAGAAAAUAUAAAUUGAUUAAAAAUAAUAAAUAAUUGAUAAAAAUUUAUAUAUAUAAUUAGGCAAUUAAAUAAAUAAAAUAAACUAUAAUUAUUGAAAUAAAUACUUUCAUAUGUGCAAACUCUGCUAAAGGAGAAGUGUGCUAAAAUAAAAGUACUGUAGAUUUUUAAUAUAAAAGAAUAUAAAAUUACAUGAUAUAAUAAAUUAAUAAAAAUUAAUGCAGUACUAAAUGCAGUAUCUUUCUUUAUAUAUAUCUUUCUUUAUAGAAAUAUAUGAAUAUAAUAUUCGAUAUAUCUAUAGUAUAAAUAUUGUGUCGAUUUAUGUGAAAAAUAUAGAAUAAGUUUUUGUUCUAAUAACUAUUUUCACACAAAAUUUAAUAAUACAAACCUUGUGUCCAUUAAUAAAACCAUUCUGUAGUUUUCUAUUCAGUAUUCUUGUAACGCGUGCAAUAUAUAAUAGAAGUUAUCAAUAAAUAUAAUAUAAAAUAAAAUUAAAAUACAAUUGUUAUACAAGUGACUUAUUUUUUAUAGAAAAAGUUUUUUAGAAUUGAAUGCGUUUAUAAACGAGAUAUUUUGCUCGGAUUUUCUUUCUAACCACAAUACUUCCACGAUUAGUGCAUUAAACAUUUAUGGUUCAUAAAGCGGAGGGGGAAAAGAGAGUUGGUAUGGCAACGAGACGCGUAAUUUCAAAACUGUUACCGGAGGCUGCAAGUUUAAAAUGAAUACGGAAAUUCUCCGGCUCGCGGCGUAACAACAUCAGGCACGGAAUCAAGCACAGUGUGUGCGACCAGAAUUUGAGCGUUCCUUUGGGAUUUUCGUGCUGCAUCGAACCACAACACGUAGCUACCGUAAUAACGUUCGAAUUUUUGAAGCGUACGUAUAGAACUGUGCUGGCAUAAUAUUGAUCGCGUGCAAUUUGUUCGUAUUGUUUAUUCUACUGUAUUUUUUAAGCAUGAAAAAUCGCUCGUUGCUCAUACAUAAUAUGUUGCCACUUUUCUUCCCAAUUUCCCGUUUUAUCUCUAUUCUUAGAAUUAUUUUUCUUUUUAUUUAAAAAUUCUGCGAAGAUAUCGUUCGAACAUAAAGCUGUGAAAAUACAUUGCAACCAUUUGCGCGCGCGAUUGGGACUAAAUUAAAAAUGUCGCUUCCGCCUGCACAACCUUGUUUGACAUUACAAUCCGACAAAAAUUCAUGAGCUUUCGCAUCACAACUGACUUUUAUUUUUUUUGUUCAUGGACCAAUCGGACAUUUGCAGUUCGCUACUGGUCUUUUGUGCAUUGCGACCUGCCCUAUUUUUCUUUUUUUUCUGUUGUGUCAUUCGAUGUAUCUCGCAAUUUACAAUUGUAUUCUCGCGUUACCCAUUUUUUUUUUCUACACAGAUUUGCAUGAUGCAAAAUACGCGCGCUUUGAUUUGACAAAAUCGUAACCUAUUCGUAUCUUUUUGUAAACAAAAUGUAAUUUACAUUUCUCGUUCUUUUAAAUACUUUCACAGCAUUAUAUCUAUCUCGUUUAUUAUUAUAUUAGUAUCGCAAUGCUCUUGCAUAAUUUGCACAAAUGGAUUACAUAACGAUGCAUAAUCAGGUAAUACGUGAAAUUCUGAAAGAAUAAGCAAAAAAUAUCUAACUGCUGUUAAAUAAUUUGUUACAAAAGAAUUUGAUUUGAUAUGUGAAUAAGUUACAGUUAAACAACCAAAUUAUGGCUUUGUUAAAUAGUUAAAAACAUUGCGAAUAAUUCAUAAACUCCCCCCUCAUUGAUUCUUUUAUAUUAGUAUCGCGUGUAGCACAAACAAGAGAGAUAGUUGUACUUGAGGAAUGCUUUUUUAUAACAGUAGUUCGGUUCUCAUAGAGGAUAACAAUCAAUCCUAUUCACGAAAAGUGUAAACGCAUUUGAUAUUUACGCAUCUAAUGGGAUUUUCCGCCGCGUUGCGUGUACAGCCUUGCUGCUUUCGUUCCGUUUAAUAGCCGGCGAGAGCUACCAUAAUCCAUGAUGAUAAAUAAUUCCUAUACCCAGCGAAAAUCCUUUUCAGCUUAUUCACCGCGUAUUACUCGUAUAUACGCGGAUUAGAGUAUUUCUCUCUCUCUCUCUCUCUCUCUCUCUCUCUCUCUCUCUCUCUCUCUCUCUCUCUCUCUCUCACUCUGUCGCUCUGUCAUUCUCUCUCUCUUUCCGCGAGCGUUAUUGGUCGCUAUUUUCCAUGUUUUGCCGUCGUUUCAUGCCCUAAACAGCUAAGAAACUCCUAUCCGAUUUAUACGGCAGAUUUUCCGUCAAAACCUGCGCUUCCAAUCAUUGAAGGUUAAAUAGCCUUUCUAGCGAAAAAUUUUCGUUUCGUAAUACACAAAUAUAUUCUUUUAAAUAAAUAAUAGUGAAGAAUGUAAAUUAGUCGAUAAAAUCAAUUUCGUUCAAUGUCUGAUCGCAAAUUAUUGAUUAAUAACUGAUAAAGUAUAAUCAUAUUACAACUGCUAAGUACGUACGUUAAAUCUAUAAAAUCUUUAAAAUCGAGAAUCCAGUUAGUCCAGGAAUGUUCAGCCGCAUUAACGAUUCUAUAUAUAUUUCUGCAAAGGGUUACCUGUCGAUAAUCCGUUAUUUCCGUCGACGCAGAGUAUCUAAUACGAACGUUUUGCAUAUUCUAUCGCCAUAUGGAUCCGUUAAUUUUUUAACAGCACUUCCGGCGAUUCUAUUGUCGCGUCAAAUUAUUCAAUAUUUAACGGUACUUCGUUCAUUUGAAAGUAGAUUGACGCUCAUGUGCAUGUUCUCUCGACCAUUUCAUCGAAUGGUAUUUUAAAAAUCUAGUGGAUGGAGGUAUUUCUAUACGUACGUGUAAAACGAGAGCGAGAGACGGAAAGGGAGAUGAAAGCAAUGACAAGAGGCGAGGCGCGGAAAGGUUCAUUAAUCUUUCCUCGGUUCCUUUUCAAUUUUCCUUCUCUUCUCUUUGCGUAUGAAUGUACCUGUGGCAUCCGACAAUAUAUACACGAUAUGCUUGCUCCUUGUACCCAGGAAAAUAUUCCUCCCCCAGAAGGCAAUUCUUGCAAUUUAUUAACGUCUACAUCUCGGCAUUUAACGUAACAACUCGGACUUUCUACGAUACGGACGGAGACUCGGAGAUGAAUUUGUCGUGGUGCAUCUUGAAUCCGCCAAGACUGCUUUUACUGCGUAAAGGAUGAAUGUUAUAUGACGUCAUAAAUUUAUGAACGUUUUGCAUUUUGCAUGAUAUCUCUCUCCGCUAGUUCAACGGUAAAAUAAAUUCUUCUUAAUAGUAUUUUGAAAUAUUUGUGUUAAAAUAUCAGCGCUUAUAAUAUGUGUGUGUAAAAUCACAGAAGUGUUAAUCUCUUAUAAAUGUGUGCAACACACACAUACACACACAGAUCAAUGUAUUUAUAUUGUAAAAUAUAAAAUAAAUAUUUUUUGUUUCAUCGGAUAGAAUCUUAUAAUGGGAGAAGACUUAAAAAUAAUUUUCGUGAAUAUAAAUAUAUUUUCGCUUUUAUGUUUAAAAAUUGCUAAUUACUAUUUGAUUUUAACCUUUCGCAUACACACUGGGUGAUUAUCAUUCAUAAAUAAAAAUUCAGCGCUCUGUACCUUUUAAGUACCGUAAUAAAUGGAAAAAACUCAACUGCAAAAACUAGAAAAACUAAUUUUUUUUUAACCGCGAAAUAUAAUAAUUUUUUUAAAUCCAAAGUUAAUCCAUAAAUUUUUUCAAAAUUUUAGCAUAAAUAUUUUAAAAGAUAUAGCUGUUUGAAAAUUGUCAUGGAUAACCAUCUACAGUGCGAAGGUUGAAAAAAUAAGUCUGUAUGCAAAGGGUUAAAAUACAAAAUGUUUUUGUGACAAAAACUGAUAAAAAAUGUACUAUUACAUUAUUAAAUUAAUAAUAAAUUUAAUAUUAUUAAUAACAAUAAGCGUUUUAAGGAAAAUUAAAUUGUAAUUAUUAUACUUAAGACGAUUCAAGAACGUAGAAAAGAUGGACUGUAUAACAUUUACAAAUGUAUAGCCUCAUACAUUUUCAUGCUACAUAUUUUAAAUUCUGUAAUAGUAAUUAACACAUUACUUCUAAAGAAAAAAAUGAAAAUCACAGAAAACCCAAGAAUAAGAAAUAAAAACUUGAACGUUUUUAUCUGCACGUAUGAAAAUGACUUUUAAAUUUGGUUUUAUCUAGCGCCGGUCUAUUUCAUUGAAUCGAAAGUAAUAAGGUUGCGGAACAAUCUUAGCUGGAGGGUGAAGAAAUCUCGCGGAAUGCAGAAUCGGAGAUGGGGAGGUGGAUAGCGGAAGCCGGAGGGAACGGAGUCCCGGUGCUCCUCCACUUUUAAUGAGCGGUGAAUCUGCCUGUCCUAUAAUUGAAGCGAUGUUGCGAGCGCAAAUUGCAGAAACCUGCGACUGGUGCGGCAGAGAGAAACUACGGGAGCUAGAAACGCAGCCAGCUAAAAACUUUUCGAGUGGCUAGGUACUCGGAACUUGCUGAAAAGUUCAAGCAUCCUUCGCUUCUCAUUUUUAUUUAUACACUCUUAUGUGCCUAACAUCGUAUUUUUUUUUAAUCGCUUCUAAUUGAUCGUGAAAUAUUGGAUCGCGCAAAUAUUUAUCACUUAAAAUAACCGAAGAGACACAUGUACGUAAUGUGAAAUUCAACUAUAAUUUAAAACAGUGAAGUUAGGAGAAAUUAUAUUUUUUAAUAUUCAAUCGGAGAGACCUAAACAUUAUUUUAAAAUUCUCUUACAAAGAAUAUAAUACAGAAAAAAAACAACAAAGAAAAAAUAAAUAAAUAGAAGGAUAAAAAAUUAUAUUUGUGCAAAAGAAUAAGAAUUUAUGUUCAUUCCUAGUUAAUAAAUGCGAAAUGUGCGAAAUAAUAAUAUCGUAAAAAGUAAUUUUUUAAUAGACUUGAAUGCUUCAUAGUUGUGGAAAGGUAAGGUUAAAUUGUGCAUUACUUAAGCCAACGUUAUGACGUAAAUUUGCAUGUUCUCAGAAAAUUUAUUACUUUAUGAUCCCACCUUAAAUUUUAAGAGCACAACGUGAGUAUAAUUUUAAUUAAACAGCUUUCCAUUCUUUGAGGACCGUCAAAGAAAAGAAUUUCAGAUAUAUUUUUUAAAUAUGUCUAGAUUAAAAAUAUUAAAUACAUUUCAUGCAACAUAAUGCACAAAUCGUUGCAUAUUAUUAUAUUUUUCUUCGUUCAACACAAUCUAUAGAAAUAGUAUAUUGAUUAAAUUUUUUUCUGCUGAGAAUUACGGUGGCAACAAAAAUUAAACGAUCGUCUUGAGUAAUGGAUUCAGCACGUGGAACUCAUCAAAGAUUACGGCGAGUCAUUCGAACCAGCAGAUCGUUGCUGAAAUGCUGCAAUAAAAGGAAUUUAUUGCAUCGUGAGCCAAUGUCACUUAUAUUCUCGUGAGAGACUUUCACGUCUGCUCUAUACAGUUUGUUAGUGUCAAAUACAAAAAUGACGAUUCUAUCGAAAGAUAAAAGAAAUCGAAUUUAUCGCCAUAUAUAUCAUGUCAAUACAUAUCGCAAAUAUUACCAACAAUAGCAGUGAUAAUAAUAGUUGUCACUUUUUUGUUCCAACGAUAAAAUUUAGAACGAAUCCCGUCUAUAAAAUAAAAGGAUUUUGCACGCACUGCAAAUGAAUGGUACGAAUGAUAAGAAAGAACGUAAAAAAUCCAAUAUCAGAUUCAUAUAUGCGCAGUGUGCAACUUGUGACAUGUAAUAUUCUGCGAAAUGCAAGUAAAUAUUAAUAAUAUAGUUUUUAUCACGUGUUGUGUCCCGCGUACCUAUGUUACCUAAAAUGAACCUUGCCGUAAAAAAUAAAAACGCACAACUGAUAUGCACACGUCAUUUGCAGAGACAAUAUUGUCAAAUAGAUAAAGCGGAUCGGCGAAUAAUAAACUAUAUAGAUUCGCUAAAGGUGAAAAAGUGGUGUGACUGGGUUGACGGUACGACAGCGAGGCGCAACGUACAACUGAUUAAAUUGGCGGUGAGGCUCGUGGCAACAUGUGCACCGUAACUCGUGCGGAAAAACGUUCUGGUAACUCGAGCUAUCCGUCACAAUCAAUCAGGACGGGAGGAAUGUCGGUUAAAAAAAAUGAGCACUCCAAUAUCUUUGCAAGCUUUAACUGUGGCGUCCGAGCUAAUAUUGGGACGUGAUAGUGCUCGUAAAAUUUUCUUAGCGAGCGUCCUAAUCAUGAAAAGCUCAUCUAGCCUCUCCUUACACAGAAAUUUACUAAUCCUUUUUCUUGUCGGUUUUUCGCCGCAAGGGAAGAAAAACAAAACUAAUAGAAAUGAUUCUUGAGAAUUAAGAGAAAGUUGUGAAUUCAAGUUCUUCAAGCUCUUCUUUUGUUAUUGCGUAAUCGUACUCGCAGAAAUUUCCUGCCAGAUUUAAUCGACUUACUUUUUUUUUUUAAUUGACUUUAAUUGACUUACAUCACGUUAAAAUGGUGUAUGUAUCGUCUACAAAUAGUAGAAAUGUUAAUAGAGAAUUAUUCCGUAUUCAUUAGAAGAGUUGGGAGUUUCUUGAAAUUUCGUGAAAUCUUUGUGGACUUAUCGUAACCACAAAGUUGUACGUGUGUCGUGACGGCUACGACGUGACGUACGAUAUCGCGCUAGAAAUAUCGAUCGAGCAAUUAUUCUGAUAUGAGUUACGGCGGACAACGAUCGUGAAUUAGAUUAAGCCGGUGACACAUGGUGAUAUGAGUUACAGGAUCAUGUCCGACGUAGACCAAAGCGCCGUGAAGAUAAUAUGGGAAAUGUGGAGUGCGGCGCACUAUCUCAUCCUUUCUCUCUCUUUCAUCUCGGACACUCCUCUCGCUUCGGCUUACCCUACUAGUUCCCUACGAGCAGUUCGGUGUAAACGGCUAUCCGGAACGGGUCAGCAAGAUUAGCCGAAUCACAUGGAAGCACGAAAUGGUCGGUUGGCAGUGUAAUAAAUUCCAUUCUGUUAUGAAUUCUGGUUUCUAGUUCAUCAUAAACGAAUACGCUGUCGGGAAAUGUCGAGCAAGUUUCGAUAAAGAUGUCUCGAUAUUGGUUAUCAAACGGAAUAAUAGAGAUCACUUGUCAUAUAUAUGUACAGAUCUAAUAUCAACAUAUUACUGGAUAUUGACGUAACAGUACAAUGCCAGAGAAUAGACCGCUGUCAUCAAACGACAUAAUAUGUCUCGCGAAAGCUCAACAUCGCCAAAUAUUGGACAUGUUAAUAUCAUCCGUUCAUCAUAUACCGUUCACACGCGCGCAAUAUAGAAAAUAUAUUAAAACUCAUUACAAAAGAAUAUUUGUAUAAUUGUUUUACUCUUACUUUUGACUUUAAUUUUUAAUUUUAAAAUUACGAUCUUUCUACAAUAUAAUGUUUCUUCAAUCAUAUCAUUUGCAUGCUUGUUUUAUUUAUAGAGUAUUUAUACUCUUGUAGAUAUUAUGACCAUUCCGUUAUUAGAUAAAGGAUUAUAGUAAUAAUUUAUAAAAUUACUUGUUUAAUAGCAUUCUGUUAUUUGUAAAUCAUUUUUAUUAGUUUACAGGCAAUUAUUAUUAAAUGUUGAUUAUUUUAUAAUUAUAUAAUUAUAUAAUUAACAUUUUACUUAUUUUACAUUAUAGUGGCAUAUCUCGAAAUCUUUUAGAAAACUUAGAAAAUUGGACAACAGAUAACUAGUUUGUAAAAAAUAAAAAAUAGAGAAAACUGUUGCUAAAUAUAUAAUUCUCAAAAAAUAAAUUAGCUAUUCAAGUUAAUUGUACAUGACAAAUGUUUGUUAGUGCUAAGUCAGCACAGCUUUUUGACUUUUAAUUUUAGUUCUUUUAAAAUAGCGCAACAACAACGUCUAGACAAAAUAUAUUAAAAAUGCUGCAAAAACACUGUAUAUCCAUAAGUUCAUGCUAGCAAAUUUAUUGCUGGAACACUAAAGUGUAAACUAAUGAAGAUGACUAUUAAAUAAUGAUAUUAAAAUUGUGCUUAUAGAUUUACGUAUCUCUAGUGUCCGGAAUCAAAUUAAUCAUUAUUACGAACACUGUGGAAUGAUCAUAUCAUUCACCAGAAAAUAAAAGAAAAUGUCAUCACCGUUACAAAGUAUCAUGUAUACAUGUGUGCAUAUUUAAUCUAUUGUAAAUAUUGAAUUUUAUAUAUUUUUGGAUUUCUCUCGUAUUAUUUAAAAUAAAUAAAAUAAAAAAAGCAUAGUAUAAAGUUCAAUCUGUUUUCUUUUCGUCUCUUUCGUCCAUUCUAUUAUCCUUCUAUAUAACAGUUUAAGGUCAUAGUAUCUUCGUUGGUUUAGUAAGAUUAUCCGGAUCACAAUGAAAGCACGAAGUUGUUUUCGAUACUAAAGGAACCACGAUUUGUUUUUCAUUCUCCAUAACAAACCUGGUAAGCAAUUCAAAGCAUCAAGUAUCGAUUGAAAUUUACUGAAAUAAUUAAUCAUAAACACAUUUUUAUAUUUUAAUUAACUGACAGCGUAUACAAGUACAUGCAGAAGAUAUUUCAAAAAUAAUAUUAUUAGUUUUCUUGUUUAUCAUUAUUAAGAAAUAAAGUCAAUGAAUAAAUGAGUCAGACAGCGGAAAAAUGUGUUAAUGUCAGAAAACAUAUAUCUUGUUAUAAAUAUCGUGUGAACUCGUGAAAUCCUACCAUUUAUAUCUUUGACUGCGUAGAUAUAUGAUGCACAUCGACUUUCAACUUUAUUCUUUUGUCUGGUCGAGUAUAAUCUUUUCUCCUUAGAUUGCGACGCUAUGCUUUAUUUUGAUUCACUCGCUAAUAUUUUUUUAUUUUAAUAUAAUCGGGUGAUAACUAUUAAUUGAAUUUGAUUGAUGUAAAAGUUGAAUGAUGAUUUAUUGUAUACCUGCCAUUUAUAUUCGUAACAUGGAAACAGAUUGUUCUCGUUGCAAUUAUUUCUCUAACAAGUUUUAACACGUUGAUCGCCCAUAAAUCGAGCACAAAUUGAGUUUGGGGCAGAAUCCAAAUUCGCGGAAAACUAUUAAAAACUUUUGUUACUAUUAAAAACCGUUACGAAUUACUUGCAAAGUGUCACGUUAAUUAGAUGAAGAUAACUGUCACUUAUGUCUCGGUAACAUGAUUUAACGUGUUAUUACAAUACGAUAGCUUUAAAUCUGCGAUGGAAGCUAUUUUAAUAUAUACGGUAAAAAUAUCGAUGUAUCAUCAAAUUAUUAACAUCAUAUAAAACCCUCUUGCAAAUCAUUCGUUAUGUUAUGACAUAGAAAAUUGUAGAUGUGAUACGUUUCAAUAAAAAAAGAACGCGUGAUGCACGGAACGUAUAUAAUACAUUUUCUAUACGUACAAUCUCUCAUUGGUUUGCAUUGAUUACAGGAAAAAUGCAUAAAACGCGUAAUAACGUAAUUGAAUACCACGGUUGAAUAAUUACAGUGAAAACUUACAUAGAUAUAUUUACGGUGGUAUUAACCCGGAAAUGGUAAGCGCUUCUCAUCGAAUAUCGAUCGCGUGCAAUCCAGGUGAAACGUCGGCGCUCCUUUCCUCGCUUCUCGCGUCAUAAAUUAGCAGCGAAUUCGCUUCAAGUAAACCGAAGGAGGAACCAUGAGGACUUCGACGAUUAGACUCGUCGGUCGAAAGUUGCCCAAGUUUUCUUUCCUCCGGCCCACUUCGGCACCUUCUUCCAACGUUAUAACCAACCAUCUACCGCACGCUUCUCGUGAGCUCCCGAAACUUACUUCUAUCGAGAGCAUCGAAGAGCGGACGAGCGAGCGAGCGUGUCAGCGGAGGAAAGCGUGGAGAUGCAUCCGCAUAGAAGAAAGAAGGAAGGAAGCCACGGUAACUUCUCUCGCGCGCGCCUCCCUCGCGCUUCUCCUUUUUCUUCCGUUUCUUCCCUCGAAAACUGCGCCGGCAACGAAAAGCUGAUCGUACUCGCCGCGGAAUCGAAAAGAUGAAAAGCUAACUUCGAGGCGCCAUCUGAUAAUAUACCUAGAGCAACGGGGGGGGAUCGAGGCCGUAAUUGGUCUGACUUCCUAUCGAUGCUGAGUCGAUGGAGCCCACGCGACGGAGCCGACGAAGAAACUUGGCUCUAUCGAUUGCUCCAUACCGGUGCGGCGCGGCGCAGCGCGGUGGCUGGCAGGGCCGAUCCGCGGGUCAGCGAUUCGAGUGCGUUUCCCUUUCCCGCCUCAACUUCGGGUAUUCCCCCCGACUUUACCAUCCGCUGUUUCUAUUCUCACCUCCAAAAUUUGAUCCCUCGAUGCACCGCUCUCUUCCUCUCCGUCGCCCAUGCUCGAGGACUCGAGAACGUGUUCGCAUAAUUCAUAGGAUUUUGGCGUUAAAGCGAGAAUGGAACUUUCCCGGCUAGGUCCCGAGUAGCGAGAAUUCAGCUAAGUGAUACGCCGGUGCAUUCCCGUCAUAGAUUCUCCUCGUUGACAGCGACAGCACCAACGAACUGGGUCGACUUUGGAGCACCCGAGGUCUCUGUCCCUUGCUGUUCUCUCGGUUGUUUGUACAUUGUUGGAUGCUUUGUAGCGAAUUCCGUAGAUAACAUCACUCGCAACAGCACGGAAUCGCUCCAAAAUCAAGCAAAUCAAGUAGUUAUUUCCUUGUUUAAUGAUUGUUUAGGAACCUCACUCGGAUUUGCUCUCAAAGUUCGCGGACAGUUGUUCGCAAAGUUAAUAGAUAUGCUAGCUUAGCUUAAAAUCGGUAAUGGUUGUAAAAAUUUUUGCUGCCAAUCUCAAGGUGUAUAUUGCAAGUAGAGUCCAAUUUCCCAUCUUUUUUAGUUGUUAUUCUUAAUAAUAGUAUCUAAACUGAUUCCCAUGCAGAAUGUAAUCUGUGAUGUAUCUAAUAUUUAAAAGCUAGAUUCUUCUCUAUAGCUAAUCGUAUACGAUUAAAAAAACAGCAAGCUUGCAAUAUAAGUGUUUGAUUAUUGUACAUAUUGUAACUAUACAUUGUACGCCCCGAAUAAACGUAUUUUGUAUUAUUUUACAGCAAAUAUUGCAGACUGGGGCGGCAAAUAAUACAGAGGUUGGAGUGAAGGCAAGACAAUUGAGUAAUUAUUUAUUGGCUCUUGGUAUUCAGCAUCGCGAAGUCUACAAUUAGCGGAGAUAGGAGAUUACCUAAGCGUGCUUACCGUCGGACUUUCGACCAAAGACCUUCAUUAAGAACAAUACCGCCAAUGAGCUUAGUCGAAUUCAACACUCCAGACUAUUGUCUUAUCAACGACUGAAUAUAUGCGGUUUAAUGCUUUGUAGUCAAUUCCAUGUAUAAGUACAAUGCAUUACAGGGACCGCUACAAGUGGAAUAAUCGAGUAUGGACUUAUCCCUUUAAAAUAGCAUACACGGGAAAAACAAUUCUGAAAAAUCUAAUAUAAAAAUUUAUUUAUAGCUAUAUAUAUUCUACAUUUUCAAUAAAAACAAUUUUCAUUGAAGCUAUUAUUAUCUAAUUGCAGAAGAAUUGAGAAAGUCUAAUAUACAUACGAUCUUCUUGGAAACCAGAUUAAAUUACCUUAAGACAUAUCUUACAUUCAAUUCUUAUUUAAGAAUCAUACGGAAUCGCUACUGAGAAACAUUAUAAUAAUAUAUUCAAAUUUUCAACUUAAUUACGAUUCUUAAAAAAUUCAUUAUUUCUGGAUAUAGCAAUAGAACUUUCUAUCUAUAAGUAUCAGUUUAAAUGUCAGUUCAAAUAUGAAUUUUUUUAAUCGUUAUUUAAAAAUGAUUGAAUUAUAUAAUUGUUUUACAAGUACAAAAUUUAUUGGUUAAACUCUUAAGUUAUCUGUUAAGUGAUUUUGAGAUAUAUGUACUGCUAUGAUGUAAAAUAAGUUAAUAAUUAUAAUAAAAAUGUAAGCAUAAUUAUAAAGUAAGUAAUAUUUUAUCAGAAUUGCGUAAACUCGUAAAAAUAUGUGCAAAUAGUAAAAUUACACACAGAAUAAUAAAUUAAUAGUAUACUGGGAAAAAUGUUAUAGGAAAAAUACCGUGCUUGAUUAUAAACCGAAUGCAAACGCUUUUCUAGUGUAAAUUUAUAAGGAAAUAAAAAAAUUACCAUUUUUUAUGCACAAUUUCAAAUUAAUGAAUCAAUUUAAAACAAAAAGGAUAAAAUUUCAAAUUUAGUACAGUAGUAUAUUUACGAAAAACAUUACACCCCACAUUUCUACACAUCACGAUAAUUUUUGACGAAUUUUUUAUAUGAGAAUUAACUAAUCUCUUUCUCCGUUUACAAAACGCGUAGGUUAACAGAAUUGCAAUAAUGCUUUUCACAUUCAUUUACAAUUUACAGAUUACUAUUCUAAUUUAUAUUUAGUGCGUUCGUUAAACAGCUUAUCUCCAUUUGAUAUAAAGUUAUAUAUUAUUAUAUAAUUAUGUAUUCUCUCUACUAUCCUAAAUCUCUUCCGUUGACAACAACACUGCGAACGAACUGGGUCAACCGAGCUUUCAACUCACCCCGCCCCUCUUGUCCGUAUCUCACGGAUUGUUCCACAUUGCCGCUUCGUAGGAGAUUCUGAGCACGACGGUCGAUAUCAUGGAGAAAUAGCGGGACGUGCAUAUACAGAGAAAAAAAGAGAUGUAAAAGAGCUCAUUUAUCUGAUUUUUAAAUCCUUGCGCGUCUGUUACAUUCGAUGCAGAUACGUUUGAUUGAAACUAGCGAUGCAGAUUUAAUGCGGAUUUAAUGCGCAUACGAAUACAAGUUCUACAAUUUACGGAUUUCACGUCAUUGUUCGGCUUAUUUAUUAUCCUCCUCUUUUACUUUACUUCCGCGUCUGAUAAUCGAUGCGAUAAAAAUAUGGUUCGACAUUAUAUGCGCGGGGACAGCUAUUGCACGUCCACGAAGAAUUACAUCGUAUUUUAAAUUGAUGAAUACCUCGUCCAUCUCAUAUCGGUACAAAUUUAAUUAAAGUUCAAUUAAUACCCGUUAAAUCCGUAUUAAUUCGGAAAAUCAAUCAGAUUUAAUUAUCGCGAAUACUAUUGUACAGUUCAACCCGCCAAAGCGAAAUAUUAAACGUGUCAGCAAAACGUAUCGACGUGAAUCAUUACUCGUUAUUACAUUUUCUUCGCGGAUUUUACCGGGCGGCAAAAAUUCUCUGAAGAAAAUAACGCGUGUUUACCUCAGCGUAUAAUACGUAUGGAAGUCGAUGUAUUAUUUUAUAUCUCAAAGUGAUAAGGUAUAAAAAAAUUACGUACAAUUUCCAACGUACUAAACUAUGCAUUGUGGCUCAACGCGGAAUAAUCUCGGCUGUAUUCCAUUUUGAGCUUCAAAAUGAAUCGGGAUUAACUGUAGAAAUUGUGUGUUUCCACAUCACAAUAGAAUUUAGUAAACAUGUUUGUCUUCGCGGGACAUUGUCGAGAACAGUGAACAAGUUUGCGUGCCGAUCGGCCGAUCGGCCGGUACUGCCAGUGUUAUACUCAUGAAACGUGCAUGGUACGUGGCAGGACGGCGGCCUAUGAUACGAGCUCGUAAAAUCGUCGAGAGAUUCGGACGAUAACCAGUGUUUUCCAAUUUCCGCCACGUCAAACGGCUAGCCAGAUAUAGAUGCAUAUGUCGAUGAUAUUCGCCAAUAACUCGAAAUCUCCGGUUCAUAAAGAGGCUACUCUACUAUGUCGACAAUAGACAACGAAUACAUUUCGUAAAAUCCUUUACUGAUUUUUGUCUUGUCUUUUUGUUUGCACUGAUUUUACGUACGUGAUUUAAAAAAAAAAAGGGAACGAAAACAAUGGUAAUGAACAUCGCAAUAUAAAUGCACACAAAGCAUCGAGCGUUAUGCAAGAGUUUUACUUGAAAACUAUUCUACUUCAAAACUAGUUAACCAAGAUUGUUAUUAUAACGCAAAUAUAUCGCGCGGAACUUUAGUCUAUUACAUUAUAACGUUAAAUUACCAUACAAGUUUGCGUGUAAUAGAACCGAUCGAAUAGAAAAAUGUUAGUAGAGGCAAAUUUUUUCCUUACGCAAUAGCAUUAUCAAACUAAACUCGCAAAAUAAUAUUCUCAUACUUCCAAGUCUUAUUUUGUUCGAAAAGAAAUAAGCAAUUGUGGUAUAGUUGACAGUGCGAUUGUUCACAAAGCUGGUAGAAUUAUGAUAUCGUGUUGUUAUCAUGCCGCCGUCAAGAUACAAUCCGAAAAUUAAUAAUAAUCAUACCGAAGACAACGUAAUUGCGGCACUUAUCACGAUGACUGUACAUUUUGGACUUUGAGUAUUCGAUGUGUAAACGAUGUGUACACCUCUAGAGAAAAUAGAAACGUCUAGCUGGAGAGAAAGGAGAGAAAGAGACGUCGGAAAGUUGGCUACUUUCCUAGCGCAUGCCUCGCUUGUGCCUCGCUUAUAUCACGAUAUACGGUAGGGGGAUAUACGGUAUACGAACAUUAUGCAACUUACUUCGUGAAGGGUGCACACGCGCGUACUGUGCGAAAUCAGAACGGGUUAUUUUCCGGUGACAGGUGAUACGGGACCUAUUCCCGUUGUAUGCAACCAGUGCCAGCGAUGUGCCACUGCGAUGCACCGGUAUACAAAGACUCACGAGUAUGUAGGCACACGACGAAGGCAUGUAAGUAACAUCGGACAACUGAGCGGAACGACACGAGGGGGUACGGUAUUGGACGGAAAGCUGAACUUUGUGUACCAUGGCCGAGGGAAAUAUCCCCGUGAGGGCGUCAUUGAACCACUCUGUGUCACGCUGUGAACGCAAACGCUCGUUUCAACGACAGGUGACAGGGUUACAUCUGCCGAAUGCACCGAAUCACAGAGAAUGAGUUUAGGUAAAGAAACCUAUAAUAAUAUCUGCGAUAUCUGUUAUUAAAAUUAGUUUAAUGAACCUGGAAUAUACAAUUAAUUUAAUGAAUUAAAUGAAUAUAAUAAUAAUUAGAAUUAUCUUGGAAAUAUCGAAAAUUAUUUCCCCAUAAAUCUUUGUCCUUCGUAUUAUAAUUAAAAUGGUCAAUUAUUAUAUAAAACGAUCAGUCGCAUAGAAAUAAGUAUUUUUUAAAAAUAUGUGAACCUAUUAUUUCUCUUUAAACUUACUUCUAAAAUUAUACCCACAUAUUAAAAAACAUUCUGUGUAUUUUAAGGUAUUAUUAACACAAUUGUAAAAUAUCUUCAUCUUGUAAACAUCU